Molecule: small RNA, 2774 nt
Filed under: Pongo abelii (Sumatran orangutan)
Lineage: Eukaryota; Metazoa; Chordata; Mammalia; Primates; Hominidae
Description: retained intron
Source: RNAcentral
UGUACCAGAUGCUGAAGGGGCUGAGGGUACGGGCCCUGGGGGAGGCUGCAGGGAAGCAGGCAGGGCCUUGGGGCUGGGCAGAGGAGGGCCCUGUGGCUCUGAGGUCUUGGUGUGCUGAAGCCUGCCAAAUCCUCUGCCCCCGCAGUAUAUCCACGCUGCUGGCAUCAUCCACAGAGUGAGUCCCGGUGGAGGAGCCGCCCAUCAGCCCUCCCCCAGUGCAAUCCCCCCGCCUCCACGUCCCACCUGUGAGGAUCUGAUGGGGUCUGGGGGCUGAGCCACGCCCCAUGCACAGCCCCUGGUGGGAGCCUGCCUGGGUGCCCAGGUACCUCGGUCUGUCCUUGAAGGGCUGCAGAGAGCAAGGGGGCCAGGUCUGGUGGCCCCAUCUUUAGGUGCCACCCAGGCUCUUGGCUGUGCCCAUGCUCGGGAGGGUGGGGCACAGUAGCCACCUUUCCUCUGCCCCCAGGACCUGAAGCCCGGCAACCUGGCUGUGAACGAAGACUGUGAGCUGAAGAUCCUGGACUUCGGCCUGGCCAGGCAGGCAGACAGUGAGAUGACUGGGUACGUGGUGACCCGGUGGUACCGGGCUCCCGAGGUCAUCUUGAAUUGGAUGCGCUACACGCAGACGGGUGAGAAGCUGCCCAGAGAUUUGGGCCUUUCAGCCUGUACCAUCUGCUUCUCCACUUCUUCACGGAGAGCCCUGUGGUGGCUGCUCCCCAGGGAGGCUGUUGAGCUGGGGUGGGAGCCGGGCAGGUGGGCUGUGUCGGUGUCUCCUCCCUCCCCGUCUCAUCCUGUCCCCCUGCCCACGGAGCUGACCAGGGCUUCUAUCUCAGUGGACAUCUGGUCUGUGGGCUGCAUCAUGGCAGAGAUGAUCACAGGCAAGACGCUGUUCAAGGGCAGCGACCGUAUCCUCCAGCAGCAGGGUGGCACCAGGGGCGGGUGGGGAUGGCUCCUGCCCAGGUGGGAGGGUUCCAGGGGGUUGGGGAUGGCUCCUGCCCAGGAGGGGGCAGUGGGGGCCCUGAUCUCUGGCCCCCGAGCUGUGUUCCUGACCUCGGUGCAGACCUGGACCAGCUGAAGGAGAUCAUGAAGGUGACGGGGACGCCUCCGGCUGAGUUUGUGCAGCGGCUGCAGAGCGAUGAGGCCAAGAACUACAUGAAGGGCCUCCCCGAAUUGGAGAAGAAGGAUUUUGCCUCCAUCCUCACCAAUGCAAGCCCUCUGGCUGUGAACCUCCUGGAGAAGAUGCUGGUGCUGGAUGCGGAGCAGCGGGUGACAGCGGCCGAGGCGCUGGCCCAUCCCUACUUUGAGUCCCUGCACGACACGGAAGAUGAGCCCCAGGUCCAGAAGUAUGAUGACUCCUUUGACGACGUGGACCGCACACUGGAUGAAUGGAAGCGUGAGUGGGGGGCGCCGGGCAGGGCCUGUGUGGACCCGAGUGGGGAGCUCUGGGCAGGGCCUGUAUGGACCUGUGAGUUGGGGGCUCUGGGUAGGGCCUGUGUGGACCCGGUGGGCCCUGUGCAGGUGGCCAGGCUCAAAGUCCUAGAUCCCUGUCCCUGGGAUGCAGGUCAGGUGAGGAGGACGGGAGGUCAGAGGGCAGCGUGGGGCCGUGUGGCCUGGUGGAGAUGACCUCUGGCUGGAGCUGGAAGAUGAAGGGAGGGUGUUCCUGGCAGGCUCAGCACAGAGGCUGGCACAGAAGGAGCCGGAAAUGGUGAAAGGCAGCUGUGAGUCAGGGAACCAGGGCCCACUUAGCCCCUCCUGGCCUCCAGACCUGCUGCCCUUCCGCCAUGUCCAGGCCAGAGACCUGGGCCACCCUGACACCCUUCCCACGUCCGCUUGUCCCUAAGGCCUCUCUGCUCACACCUCCUGAAUCUGUCCUUGCCUCUCCUUGCCCCAUUUUUUUUUUUUUUUUUGAGACGGAGUCUCACUCUGAUGCCCAGGCUGGAGUGCAGUGGCACGAUCUUGACUCACUGUAAGCUCUGUCUCCCGGGUACACACCAUUCUCCUGCCUCAGCCUCCCGAGUAGCCGGGACUACAGGCGCCUGCCACCAUGCCUGGCUAAUUUUUUGUAUUUUUAGUAGAGUCGGGGUUUCACCGUGUUAGCUAGGAUGGUCUUGAUCUCCUGACCUCGUGAUCCACCCGCCUUGGCCUCCCAAAGUGCUGGGAUUACAGGUGUGAGCCACCGCGCCCAGCCCUCUCCUUGCCCCACUUUAUUAUCCCUCCCCCCUGGACAACUGUAUACCCAAGACAGUCCCCGGGGCCUCGCCUGUCUCCCCCAGCUCCCCUGAGCAGUCCAGACCCCAAACCCAACUGCUGGGGUCCAUCAUCCCCUAUACCAAGGGCUAUCCCCUCAUCUUGGAGGGCUGGCCAAGGCCUGUGCAGCCUCAGGCUGGACUCAGGGAAGCCUCCCCAGCUCCCACAGCUAUGCUGUGGCCUGAGGCUGUGCUGGACCUGGCUUCAUUUCUGCUCCAGGAUGGCAGGCUGUGUCUUCUUCAUGGCUGCAUGACCAGCCUGGGGUGGGGGUACCUGGGGACAGUAGCUGUACACUGGGAGCAGUGCCGUGUUUCAGGCCCUGUCCUGGCUCUGCCUCGGGCGCAGGACCUUGGUCCUCCACACUGGCUGGGUGGGGCCGGAUGGGUUGAGAUUCACCUGUGCUCCUUAGGGCCACGGGUCCCUGGGUGCCUGCAGCAGGGCCUCCACCCUUAGCUGUGUGCGUAUUCGUGUGCUUAUGAGUUUGGCUUUAUUUGAUUAAAGGUUUCUGCUGCUAGAAAGAUGACUUGAAA